This 360-nucleotide ribosomal RNA is filed under the name uncultured bacterium. RNAcentral's name for it is "partial 16S ribosomal RNA". It matches the Rfam family "Bacterial small subunit ribosomal RNA", at positions 338 to 696 of the family's 1533-position model. The record is from RNAcentral.
CCUACGGGGGGCAGCAGUGAGGAAUAUUGGUCAAUGGCCGAGAGGCUGAACCAGCCAAGCCGCGUGAAGGACGAAGGUGCCAAGCAUUGUAAACUUCUUUUAUCAAGGGACAAAAUCAGGCUCGAGAGCCUGACCGAGGGUACUUGAUGAAAAAGCAUCGGCUAACUCCGUGCCAGCAGCCGCGGUAAUACGGAGGAUGCGAGCGUUAUCCGGAUUUAUUGGGUUUAAAGGGUGCGUAGGCGGUCUUUUAAGUCAGCGGUAAAAGCCCGGGGCUCAACCCCGGCUAGCGGUUGAAACUGGUGGUCUUGAGAUGUCGAGAGGUAGGGGGAAUGCGGAGGGUAGCGGGGAAAGGAUUAGAUA